RNAcentral lists this ribosomal RNA (497 nucleotides) under uncultured bacterium. RNAcentral's name for it is "partial 16S ribosomal RNA". It matches the Rfam family "Bacterial small subunit ribosomal RNA", at positions 28 to 507 of the family's 1533-position model. The record is from RNAcentral.
GAUGAACGCUGGCGGCGUGCUUAAUACAUGCAAGUCGAGCGAACAGAUGAGGAGCUUGCUCCUCUGACGUUAGCGGCGGACGGGUGAGUAACACGUGGAUAACCUACCUAUAAGACUGGGAUAACUUCGGGAAACCGGAGCUAAUACCGGAUAAUAUAUUGAACCGCAUGGUUCAAUAGUGAAAGACGGUUUUGCUGUCACUUAUAGAUGGAUCCGCGCCGCAUUAGCUAGUUGGUAAGGUAACGGCUUACCAAGGCAACGAUGCGUAGCCGACCUGAGAGGGUGAUCGGCCACACUGGAACUGAGACACGGUCCAGACUCCUACGGUAGGAAGCAGUAGGGAAUCUUCCGCAAUGGGGGAAAGCCUGACGGAGCAACGCCGCGUGAGUGAUGAAGGUCUUCGGAUCGUAAAACUCUGUUAUUAGGGAAGAACAAAUGUGUAAGUAACUAUGCACGUCUUGACGGUACCUAAUCAGAAAGCCACGGCUAACUACGUG